CAACAGAAAUGAAAAUACUGGUGCGUGGAGAGCUAAAAUUCCCCAGCCUGCUUUCCCAAUUUCUUUAGAAGCUAUGCAUGCAUUUGUGAAGGUGGGUCUGUUUGCUGCCUUUUUCACCUGAUAUAUUGACAGAAAUGCCUGCAUCCUGUCCACUUUCCAUCAAGCAUUUGACUGAGGAAAUAGUACCUCUUCACUUACAGGCAUUCAAACAUAUCUUCCAGAGUGCAACGUGAUGUCGUGUGCACUAUGGGGACAACAGAACAAUCUCUGUUUCCUGAAAAUGUUGGUCAAUAUGACUUAACUUUCAGUUAGCAACAUGAUAAAGGGGGUUAUUUCUUGUACAAACCUGAAGACUGGCACGAGGUCACCUAUGGGAUUAGGCUUUGAGCAUGUGACAAAGUAAAAAAUCUGUCCUGAAGAUGGCUAUGGCUAACUUCAGCAAGGAAGGCAGGGCCCAGUUUGCAGGGACACAAGGAGGGUUGAUGCAGAAUCCUUGUGUACAGCACUCUGUUGUGCAGGGUUUUGUUUGGGUUAAUGUCAUACUAGAUGUGCUCAUGGAUUCAUCUGAGAAAGGUGCCUGGGAAAUUAGCAGAGGCUGCAGAACCUAUAUGCUGUUCUCAGAGUUCUUCCUCUGCCAUAAGUAUCAAAACUUGCUGAAAUAAAGACCAAGCUUACCUCCAAAGAUCCCAAGUCCAUGAGAAGAAACUUUGGACCAGGUUUGCAAUGUACUUAUCCUGGAAGGAAGAGCAGCUGCCAAGAGCUCACUGUUUCAACAUACAUCGGUAAGAAGAAGCAGUGCUUGGUCUCCCCCACAGACAGGCCUGAGGGAGCAUCCUCACAUCUGAAUUAGGCCCAUCAUUUUUAUUCUGACUAUAGUUUGCACUGGAUUUUGCUUCUUGGUAUUUCAAUUUUAAGCCCAUCCUUGUGAUUUUGUGUAAACAAUUGUUUACUUUCUGUGCCAAGAAUAUGCUAUGGUAUUUCUGAGAAAUGCACCCUUCAAUACAUGGCUUAAAAAAUAAAACAGCUGAGAAAGGGCGUGGAAGAUAUUUGGAUUCAGCUUUCAAAAGCCACUCUUAAUUUGACUGCUUUUGGGUCUGAACUGUUUCCUGAAUAAAAUGCAUAGCGAAAAAUAAACAGAAACAAAAGAAAGUAACCCCAUUGGGAAAUGGAGUGGUAAGACUCUGUAUAAAGAUGAAAGAAAAUAUUUCAGGAGCAUUUCUCUCCAUAGCUACAACUGAUGAGUGACAGUGGAAAACAUGACUGAGAAAGUAGCCUUAUUUCUGACAGUGACAAGUUCUGAUGCACUGUAUGGGUUUUAACCCUGUUCAAGUUUUGGAUCUCCCAAAAUAACCUCUUAAACACACUAGUUUUGACCUGGUGAGUCAAAGAGAAAACUGCAGAAGAACUGACCAAAUACUGAAGAAAAGAUUUUGAAAUUAAGAUUUAAGAAUUAACAAAAAAGAGUCUACAAAGCAAGAGAAAAAAUUGAUGUUUAGGCUGAAUUCACGAAGGAGGAAUAGCAGCUCAACAGAAAUACCAGGAAUGAAGACAUGAAAGUAGGAAGAUAAGCAAAGGUCUCAAAGUCACAGACAAGCAAUAACAUUAUCCUGGUGUGCAAGACACAGCACAAGGGCUUCUUCAGACAACCAAAAUACUCUCGGAAGGAAGAACAGGGAAGAAAGGGCAGGAGAGCUGAAAGUGUCCUCAUGAUUCGUGAUGACUGGAAAGUACACUAUUAAAAAAAAGCACUACUUCUUUAACAGCUCAAAGAGGAGCUCAUUAAUUUCUCUCAGAACAGUAGUACAUUGUGAGGGCUGAUGACAGUAUAUUCAUUCAGUUCCAGGGCAAAAGAAGUCCUGAACAGCAGUUCCAUAAGGAUCGUACCUAAUGAAAUUUAGUUUCCUGGAGGGUUCUGUCUUCUUGGUCCCCUGAAUCUUUAAUGAAGUUACACUAAAUGGAGUUACACUAAAUGGACUACACUAAUAUUAUUCAUCUAAGCUAAGAAUGUUAUGAAUGUGCCAGCUUUCAGUCAGUAUAUAUAUCUUAGUAGACAUGACAAAAUUCACCCAUCAGGUGAGAAGUUUUUUAAGGUGUGGGGCAAUGAAGCCUUGUUUCAAGCUGUCCUGGUUUUGUUAAAAACAAGUUUCUCUUUUAGUGAAUUUUUUUCUGUCAGCUAAAGCCUUCUUACUAACUGCACUUUCCUGAAAGUUAGCUACAUGUUUUGGUAGACACAGGAAUGUUAUGCAAGGUCAUUGGUAACAAUGCAUCCCACAAAAUGUGCAAGCAGGAGGUGACUGAAACUGAACCAACUGAUUACUCCAUCCCAUUCACGUGAUACUUUAUAUAAAAGCGGGAGACCACGAGGAUCUCAUCCCUUUUUCCUUAUGGCUGACAUUAGGAGAGGACCUUGCAAGUCGUCCCUGUGAACUGAGGCCUAGUGACAGACUGAAUCGAGUUCUGGUUGGCUGCAGAAUCCAGUCCAGAACUUCCAGGUGCUGGCCCUACAUCAGCUGGAGCAAUUGCCAGGACUUUCAAAAUUGCCUUACAGAAGCUUGCGGAAACUUGAGACAUCUAGCCAUCUACCAAAUUGGAUUGAAAUUGGCCAAAGGUCCAGAAAAUGUUCUGGGGAACAGACAGAUGUUUACACGAGGGAACAGAUUAUUAUUGGAUAACACAUGUUGCAUAAUAAGAGGGGGUUUCAAAACUGCUUAUUGUAAGGUAUGGCUGAGAUAUCACAGAGGAACAAUAUAUCUUAUACAUGCCUUGUUCUCACAGUAUUCUGU
This is a long non-coding RNA of Columba livia (rock pigeon), 2783 nucleotides long. RefSeq lists it as uncharacterized. The transcript is spliced from 3 exons. NCBI's taxonomy places the organism in Eukaryota, Metazoa, Chordata, Aves, Columbiformes, Columbidae. The record is from RefSeq and is a predicted model, not a curated record.